Unclassified non-coding RNA from Cricetulus griseus (Chinese hamster), 78 nucleotides. It matches the Rfam family "Y RNA". From Rfam's summary of the family: Y RNAs are components of the Ro ribonucleoprotein particle (Ro RNP), in association with Ro60 and La proteins. The Y RNAs and Ro60 and La proteins are well conserved, but the function of the Ro RNP is not known. In humans the RNA component can be one of four small RNAs -- hY1, hY3, hY4 and hY5. NCBI's taxonomy places the organism in Eukaryota, Metazoa, Chordata, Mammalia, Rodentia, Cricetidae. The record is from Ensembl.
AGUUGGUCCGAAGGCUGUGGGUUAUUGUUAAGUGUUUAGCAUUUGUCUCCCCCCACACCCUAACUUGACUAGCUUGAG